CAAAUUUCCGGUCCACUGCUCGUCGCCCUCUCAGGCGUUUCUUCUCACUUGGUUCCCCGUCGUUCUCCAUUUACCUAAAAAUCGAUCUCUUCGCCGUCGUCACGCCACUCGGGUUGCCCAACAAGAAGAGCAAUCGGUUUCAAUGUGCUGAAGGCCACAGCUUCAAAGUGGCCUCGAUUCGAAGAGGUUGGCUGGGAUGGUUAGGCGACUGUGCUGAAGGUCAGAGACACCCUCCAGAUCAAACAGGUUUGGAUCAAGGGCUGUCUUCUAUCUUCUUUAGUCAAUUGCCCACAUGUGCCUGCACCAUCGGUUGCUUAUGUUUCACCAUUGACAUCACAUUCAAGCCGAUAUCGACCGGGAACCUCAGCCGAGAGCCCUCUGCCGAACUUUCGAGCAAUCAGACCACAUAGAGCGUGUCUUUCAGCCACGUUCCAAGCAGGUUGCAAGAAGAUUGGCCCCUUGAUCACCGUCGGAGUGGUCUCUGAAGAGACCAGCGCCCAGUCGAUACGGCCGCGAUUGCCUGAAACAGAGCAGGAACAGGGUAUGCAGUAUCAAUCACGUGAAGAAGACGCCGCUUCACGACUGCGAGAGUAAGAGAUGCUCCUUCCGAUCAAUUUCCCCGCUUAGAGAAGAGUGAGUAGAAGAGCUGCAGAAACCAGUGUUGAUAAAAACCUAAGGAAGGAAAGUAGGGGCAAGAAGUAUCCAGUUCGCUAUAGUGAGUACGAUAUUGAAAUUCAUUCAACAAUCAACGCAGAGCAGAGAAAUGGAAACUGGUAAGAGAAAGAAAGAAAAGGGCGUCGGCUUUAGCAGAGAGGACCAGGGUAAUCAUAUGAUGCAUCCGUUGCAAUACAGGGUGCUCUUUCUAUAAACUUACCGCGUAUCCCCUUCACCAUCUCAUUAUUUCUCCUGCACCCCCACUGCCUCCCUUUCUCUCUCACCCGUCUUUAAUCUCUCGCUCUCCCUCUCUCUCUCUAUCUCUCGCUAAUGUAUUUCCCAUUUUGUCGUCCGUCUCUCUCUCUCUCUCGAUCACACGCACACACACACCAUUUCUAUUAUAUCUGUUUCUUUGAUUGGUAUCUGUUUCAUUUCCUCUAUGCCUUUGAUUAGAUAUUCACUGAGUCAGCAGCUUGAUUGGUUCCAUUUGAAAUUGCAAUGACCAGCAUACAUCAUGUCAUGUCGGUUGAUACAUUUCUUAGGCUUGACUUUUAUUUCUUUAACUACCAGCUUGAGAGAAAAUGGAAAAGCAACCUCUUUUUCAUUAUCUUUAGGAAUCCGGUUUGUCCAGAUUCAGUCGUUUAAAUUUUUCAAAUCCAUCCUCCUCUUUCCUAUGCUUGGACACAUUCAUCCCGUCUCUGUCAGAGUUGAAAGAGACCUAGUAAAGAGACAUGAAUUUGUCAAUAGAGUAAAAUGAUAUUGUUAUCUUAGCUAACUUUUGUCUGUUGGAGUUUUUUCAGAAAAUUAACUAUAUUGAUCCAAUUUUCAUGUCAACAUCUUAGAAAAUGAACUCAAAAUUUGUUAAUCAUACUGCUGCAAAUUGGAACCUAUAAACUAAAAAAGUAGGGCCAUUGACUUUUAAAUUUCAGCCAGUCUUCCUUGUAUACUAGAAAUUGAUUUUUAAAUUGAUUAUGUGUCUGAAUUCAAAGGCACCGCCUAGCGGUUGGGCCGCUCCUCCAUUCUGCAAUGGGCCUUCUUUUAUGAUGAAGGAAAUCACAGAUUCUUUUGUCGUGCGGACCAGCUGCCAACCAAAUGCAUCUUUACGACUCCCUGUGCACGAUGAAAGACUCUUGGUUUCAGCCUGAUAGAGGAGCAUGUCACCCAGUGAAUUCUAGGCUUCUGAUGCUAUGAAGCUUUACUUUAGGCCAGUCCAUGUAAACAUGAAUCCUAGCAUUGCCUUCGCUUCACUGCAAUAUGUUCACUACUAGUUGCUACUAAUAGAGGUACAAGUUCUUAGUGUUUUCCUUUCUGUAUCUGCGGUACAUGGGCAGAGUUACAUAUUGGUCAGGCAAGCACAUGCCCCCUUGGCCCUUGACAAGAUGAAAGAUAACUGGACAGGGUCUGGCCAAGGAGAUGUAGGCCUGCCGGCUGGCUUGGCCCGAUAAGAGCCGGGUCCGAGCCGGCCUGAUGCACGAAACCCUAGCCCCGGCUCGGCCUAGUUAAAAUAAAAAAAAUUAAAUAUAAAAAUAAUUUUUUAAUAUAAAAUACAUUUUUAAUAAUAAAAUAUGUAUUAUUAAUAAAAUAAAAAAAUUUAAAAUUUAUCAGGCCGAAUGAGGCCCUGUCGGACUGGUUUUUUUGGGGCUGGGCCGGGUACCGCCCGGUGCCCACCUCCAAGGAGAUGCCCUCCCCUGGAAUGGUUCGGUGUCCUCUUGGACCGUUCCUGUUUUACCAAGCAACACCUUUAUGGAACAUGAACGUACAUUCGACUUCUGAUAACAUUUAUAAGAUACUUGGCUACAAAAUUAUGAAAUGUGAAUUGUCAAAUAUGUUGGUGUAAUUAUGCAGUUAUUUGAAUCCUUACCGUUAAAUAUCCUGGAAUGACCAAAAUGUGGUUGCAACUUUGUUUUGCUUUUGUUUUCUAAUAAUUUCGGUGGUAAUGGAUUCCAUUUUCUUGCAUGUCUUAGAUGUGUUAAGCAUUCUACCUGUCUCUACUAGCUUUGCUUAUGCUACGUUAUUAAUAGAACAUGAUCAUUCCUUAUGACGGUUUCCUCUGAGAGACGUAUUAUGUUUCAGUGCUUCCCCCGAUAAAGACUGGAAAUCUUAUGGAACUGGAUUGUGAUGCAAGAGGCUAUUCUCGUGCUGGAAACGAUACAUCUUGCUUUUGUGUAAUUCUUGCUGGGAGAGACUAAGUCUAGAGCUUAAUAGUGUGCUUUAGUCUUCAAAUAAGCUUCAUCUCUUCAGAUAUGUCUUGCCAUUUACUUGCCUCAUACAAGAAAAGUUGUUUAUCACUUGCAUGUUCUCUUUAUCUAGAAUUAACUGGCUUCAUGACACUAGACCUACUAUCUGAAUUGGUCCGCAAAGGCAUAAAAUUUCUAUUUUCCCUUGACAGAAGUCGGAUGUUUUUAGCCCGUUUUUGUUGUCUUCCUCUCUCAAUUAGUAGGUUUCUGUUGUUUGGAGCUGAAGUAGUCAACUUCGGUCUUUGCUUUCUGCAACCAUUACCUUUAAAUUAUAUAUCGUUCCAUGCUUUUAUCUGGAAGAGUCCAGGGUUUCGAUUAAUUGUAGGCAUGAGAAGUGCAAUGCAGCUCCUCACUUCUGUCUUCCUAGAUGAUAAAGUUUGAUUUGGCACGACUUGGCCUUUAAGUCCUGCACAUGCAUUUGGUUUUGCUUGUUUUUUUUUGUGCACAUCAGUUUCCUGGAAUUCUUAACUAAUCCUUUAAAGUGGCCGUGAAGUAGGACCCUAUUCUUUUAGUUAGUUUGAUGUGUUUAGACAAUUAGAUGAUUUGGGAUUACCCCUGUUCAAUUAGAUGAAAUGUCACUUUUCUUGUAGUGGUAGGUUUCAACUGUGCCUUCAAGGGUCGGCAACCCUGGAAGCGUUGUUUGAAGGAUCAUGGUGAAAAUGAGAUUGCUGACUGAAGAAAUUGCACUAAUAUAAGAGGUUACUGGUAAUUAUAUUUUUGUUAGAUAUGUAUAUGCUCUAUUAAAAGAACUUACACUUGGUGCAUGUAAGCAUGCAUAUUGCACACCCAAGCUUUCGCACCAUCCUUGAAUACAACAACACGGGGACUCCAAUUGUUGCACCAUCGGCAGUGGGUCAAUGCUACACGUAGACUUGGCACCUUGAUUAUCGAUAUGGGCAACAUUCUACAGGAAAGAACGGGGUAGAAGGUCGAUAAUGCGGAAACUUGGUAUCUUAAACGUGGAGUUCACGACCUCACUCGUGCCUAUGAAGAAAAAGUAGAAGCCUAAUGUACCACAUACCGUCAAAGAGGAAGGCUUGGAACUCGUUUGAUUUCGCAGAAUUCUGCAGUCUGGAAAUGCUGAUGUUCCGCGCGUUCACUGAAUCACUGGUGCCUAAUGUCCCAUGCAAACGAUGAAUGUGAAACAAAGCGAUUGCAUGGAAGUUGGAACCUGGUGUGCUCCAGGUAAAUUGAAAUUUGUUUAGCGUGAGAAGCAGCAAAAUAAUGGGAGCUUCAACACGGUCGAUCCCAGCAGCCAGCAGCGGUACAAUUUGUUUGACAUCAACGUGUGGAUAGUUUUUUUUUUUUUUUUUUUUCAAUCGUUCCCAAAGUAUAUUUUGGAAUGCAAGGUUUGGGUCCAGUUGGGCUCCUUCCCAAGUAGCUGGCCUGAGACUAGGCCUGGUGAAGUGUAUAUUCAAGUAGUUUCCAUGGAAGCCAGUUUGUGCAGAAAUUGCUGCUUCUGUAAUUAAGGAGGGGUAGGGACGAGGGCUUGUGCAGAACAGUUUGUUGAGCAAUAACAUUUUGCAUAGGUUUCAAGUUGCUAAGAAUGCAGCUUAAAGAGGUUGGCUGGGAUGGUUAGGCGACUGUGCUGAAGGUCAAGAGUUGUCCUCUAUCUUUUUUGGGUGUGUUGUACGUUGCAACCCUUCUGUUGAGGUUGCUUCUGUUUUGCUUCACUCCUAGCAACAUGUAAAUAAUCAAAUGGCUACGGGACACUAACAUGUA
Nymphaea colorata (pocket water lily) is the source of this 4613-nucleotide long non-coding RNA. RefSeq lists it as uncharacterized. The record is from RefSeq and is a predicted model, not a curated record. The transcript has 4 exons. Lineage: Eukaryota; Viridiplantae; Streptophyta; Magnoliopsida; Nymphaeales; Nymphaeaceae.